GAAAUGCGAUAAGUAGUGUGAAUUGCAGAAUUCCGUGAAUCAUCGAAUCUUUGAACGCACAUUGCGCCCCUCGGUAUUCCGUGGGGCAUGCCUGUUCGAGCGUCAUUUACACCCUCAAGCUCUGCUUGGUGUUGGGCGUCUGUCUACGGACUCGCCUUAAAGCGAUUGGCGGCUUGGUACUGUGGCCUGGAGUGCAGCAGAAUUGCGCUCCUCGCUCGGGGCCUUGCUCCCAGAAGCAAACCUUUCUUUGUUUGACCUCGAAUCAGGUAGGGAUACCCGCUGAACUUAA
Molecule: unclassified non-coding RNA, 289 nt
Filed under: uncultured Teichosporaceae
Lineage: Eukaryota; Fungi; Ascomycota; Dothideomycetes; Pleosporales; Teichosporaceae
Description: sequence contains ITS1
Rfam family: 5.8S ribosomal RNA (bases 1-105)
Source: RNAcentral